UAGGAAGUCUGAAAUGAUGAGGUACAUAG
RNAcentral lists this non-coding RNA (29 nucleotides) under Mus musculus (house mouse). The record is from RNAcentral. Lineage: Eukaryota; Metazoa; Chordata; Mammalia; Rodentia; Muridae.